GAGAGUAUAGCUCAGUUGGUAGAGUGUACACUUAGCAUGCACAAGGUCCUGGAUUCAAUCUCCAGUACCUCCA
Camelus ferus (Wild Bactrian camel) is the source of this 73-nucleotide transfer RNA. It matches the Rfam family "tRNA". From Rfam's summary of the family: Transfer RNA (tRNA) molecules are approximately 80 nucleotides in length. NCBI's taxonomy places the organism in Eukaryota, Metazoa, Chordata, Mammalia, Artiodactyla, Camelidae. The record is from Rfam.